GUGGGGAAUCUUGCGCAAUGGGCGAAAGCCUGACGCAGCCAUGCCGCGUGAAUGAUGAAGGUCUUAGGAUUGUAAAAUUCUUUCACCGGGGACGAUAAUGACGGUACCCGGAGAAGAAGCUCCGGCUAACUUCGUGCCAGCAGCCGCGGUAAUACGAAGGGGGCUAGCGUUGCGCGGAAUUACUGGGCGUAAAGGGCGCGUAGGCGGACAGCUUAGUCAGAGGUGAAAGCCCAGGGCUCAACCUUGGAAUUGCCUUUGAUACUGGCUGUCUUGAGUUUGGGAGAGGUGAGUGGAACUCCGAGUGUAGAGGUGAAAUUCGUAGAGAUUCGGAAGAACACCAGUGGCGAAGGCGACUCACUGGCCCAAUACUGACGCUGAGGCGCGAAAGCGUGGGGAGCAAACAGGAUUAGAAACCCUAGUAGUCC
RNAcentral lists this ribosomal RNA (425 nucleotides) under uncultured bacterium. RNAcentral's name for it is "partial 16S ribosomal RNA". It matches the Rfam family "Bacterial small subunit ribosomal RNA", at positions 354 to 796 of the family's 1533-position model. The record is from RNAcentral.